Molecule: ribosomal RNA, 889 nt
Filed under: Wiltonia rotoiti
Lineage: Eukaryota; Metazoa; Arthropoda; Arachnida; Araneae; Orsolobidae
Description: partial 16S ribosomal RNA
Rfam family: Bacterial large subunit ribosomal RNA (bases 1-448)
Source: RNAcentral
UAGCCGCAAUUUUUGUGCUAAGGUAGCAUAAUCAAUUGCCUUUUAAUUAAAGGAUAGAAUGAAAGGAAAAACGAAUUCUUAACUCUAUCAAAAAUUUGUAAUAAAAUUUAGUCCUAAGUAAAAACUCUUAAAUAUAAAAAAUAGACGACAAGACCCUAUUGAACUUUACAACCGUUACGCUGGGGAAGCAAAACAACAAAAUCUUACUUUAAUUUACCCAAAAAGAUCCUUUCUGCUAAUUGAUCAAGUUACCCUAGGGAUAACAGCAUAAUAAAUUUUUACAGCUCUUAUAUAAAAAUUAGUUUAUGACCUCGAUGUUGAAUUAAUAACCUAUUUAGAGCAAAAACCAAAUAAGGAAGACUGUUCGUCUUUUAAAAAAUUACAUGAUUUGAGUUCAGACCGGUGUAAACCAGGUCGGUUUCUAUCUUUUUUAAUAAGCUUUUAGUACGAAAGGACCAACACUUAUUUUAAAUAACUAAUUGACAGAAUAUUGUAUUAGAAUUAGAAUCUAACCAACCUUCACAUAUUCAUCAUGACAAAUUCAAUCCUAGUUAUUGUCUCUAUUCUUAUCAGCGUAGCCUUUUACACAAUACUAGAACGAAAAAUUCUAAGAUACAUCCAAUUACGAAAAGGGCCUAACAAGGUCGGCUUCUUAGGACUUCUUCAACCCUUCAGAGAUGCUAUCAAAUUAUUCACCAAAUCCUAUUCUUUCCCCACACAAACCAAUAUUAAAUUGGCCCUUUUCUCUCCCCCUAUAACAUUUAUGAUAGCCAUUAUCCUUUGACCUCUUUUACCCUUAGCAAAAUUUAACAUUAUAGACAACGCCUUAAGUACAUUAAUCUUACUAAUCAUCUCAAGAAUAACAGUCUAUUUUAUUAUAAUAAUUGGU